AAGUCGUAACAAGGUUUCCGUAGGUGAACCUGCGGAAGGAUCAUUAAUGAUUUGGCGAACCUAACGUUAGUUAGGCUUUGCGAUCACUUAUUUAAAACCCAACUCUUAAAUGUAUAAUUAUAUUUCUUGAUAAAAAAAUAAAGAUCACUUUCAACAACGGAUCUCUUGGCUCUC
Molecule: unclassified non-coding RNA, 174 nt
Filed under: fungal sp.
Lineage: Eukaryota; Fungi
Description: partial internal transcribed spacer region
Rfam family: Eukaryotic small subunit ribosomal RNA (bases 1-46)
Source: RNAcentral